Molecule: long non-coding RNA, 378 nt
Filed under: Androctonus crassicauda
Lineage: Eukaryota; Metazoa; Arthropoda; Arachnida; Scorpiones; Buthidae
Source: RNAcentral
ACAAAAGGUGACAAUGUCUUAUAAACAGACUGUAUCUCGAAGAAAUCCACAUGAAAUUUUGUUGUUAUUAAUCCAAAGUUUCAGCUCUUUAAAACCUAUUAUAAAUUGUGAAAUUAUGUUGAUUCAGUUUCCAUACAAGAAAAAUAAGAUGAUUUGGAUGAUGGAUCACAGGAACAAGAUGACUGAUGAUUUGACUCUUGUCGUUCGUUCAUUUCAAAAGCAUCACUACAUAUUUCUCCGCAUUCAACUUCGAAAUUUUUGUCAUCAUAAUUACUUACUUUCCAGAAAGAUUGAUUCUAAAAAAUAGAACAUGUUAUUUACAAAAUUUACUUCUGUAGAAUAACAUGGUAAUAACAAAAGUGCAAUAUAGAAGAAAAU